GCUUCCGUAGCUCAGUUGGUAGAGCAGUUGACUCUUAAUCAAUUGGUCAGGGGUUCGAGUCCCCUCGGGAGCACCA
Molecule: transfer RNA, 76 nt
Filed under: Ignavibacteriales bacterium
Lineage: Bacteria; Pseudomonadati; Ignavibacteriota; Ignavibacteria; Ignavibacteriales
Also listed under: 1 other name
Description: tRNA-Lys
Rfam family: tRNA
About the family: Transfer RNA (tRNA) molecules are approximately 80 nucleotides in length.
Source: RNAcentral